GACGAACGCUGGCGGCGUGCUUAACACAUGCAAGUCGAGCGACUGCAUUCUUUUCGGAGGGUGUAUGGAGCGGCGAACGGGUGAGUAACACGUGAGUAAUCUGCCUUUGGCUUGGGAAUAACUUCGGGAAAUCGGGGCUAAUGCCUGAUGUUUACUGUCUGCUGCAUGGUGGGUGGUGGAAAGAUUUUUUGGCCAGGAGUGAGCUCGCGGUCUAUCAGC
Molecule: ribosomal RNA, 219 nt
Filed under: uncultured bacterium
Lineage: Bacteria
Description: partial 16S ribosomal RNA
Rfam family: Bacterial small subunit ribosomal RNA
Source: RNAcentral